Long non-coding RNA from Oryzias melastigma (Indian medaka), 416 nucleotides. RefSeq lists it as uncharacterized. Lineage: Eukaryota; Metazoa; Chordata; Actinopteri; Beloniformes; Adrianichthyidae. The record is from RefSeq and is a predicted model, not a curated record. The transcript has 2 exons.
CAGGAUUGCCAUGGUACCGAGCUCCUCCCAGGUCUUUGAAGUGAAGGCUUGACCGUGUAAAAGGACCACUUGCAGCCUGCAGAACAUGAGAGGUGGAUAAAUAUUUAAACCAACACAGGUAAAGCUUCCCGGAAGAACAGAGGUGGGUCUCCGGGUAACUGCCCAGUGCGAAUGGAUACAUUGAUAGGGGUUAGCACGGGGGGCGAGGUGGCCAGCACCGCUGAUCGUUGAGCUUUUAGAGACGGCUCCAUGCUGCCCUGGCGAAUGGACGGCAGCAGAAGAUACAGCAGCAGCGUGGCCAAAAGCACCAGGCACAAGACAACGAGGCGGUUCCGCAAGAAAUUCAUUUCAUCCAGAGGAACUGACCUACAAAAAGGAGGAGAAAAUACAUUGUUCUGAAAAACCACAAGACUUGA